Long non-coding RNA from Choloepus didactylus (southern two-toed sloth), 627 nucleotides. RefSeq lists it as uncharacterized. Lineage: Eukaryota; Metazoa; Chordata; Mammalia; Pilosa; Megalonychidae. The record is from RefSeq and is a predicted model, not a curated record. The transcript has 2 exons.
AGCAGCAUCAUCGCCAUCACCAUCAAAUCCUUGUGACAAGGUGAUGGGGUGACCUCUAGGACCCAGAAAGAUGCCAGUGCACGCUACUGCUCAGCAAAUGCGAGCUCCGAGGCCGCCGGGCUCUCGCAAGCCUUCCACGUCUCUUUGUCACACACUGUCACAGCACGUUCGCCCGAAUCCUGUUUUCUUUGUACAAACACCACCGCUUCACUUGUUUUUUCUUCUCUAACUUCAUAAUGAGGCCAUGCUUUGUGAUGGCAAAUCGAAUCCAAAGCAGAGAGCAGCCGCCCGCAGCUGUACACUGGGUCCCCCGUGGACCAUCUUUGCCCUUGACCCAGGACCCUUUCCUGCUCCAGGUGAGUCUGCGUCCCCAGGCUGCCUCGUUGGACUCUGCCUCGUGUCACCGUGCAGGACGUCCCGGAGCCGCUCUACCACCACCACCCUCGACCCUGAUGUUUGGUUUGGUUUUAGUUGCAAAGUCUUUAAUGAUACUGUUUGCAUUUUUUACAUGCAUUAUUUCACACCUGUGGUUAAUUCACAAUUAUCUCAAUACUUGCAAAGGCAUCUGCUCGGGGCUUACUUGUGAUGUGUGAAUUGAAACUAAUAAAAUCAAGGAAGAGCAACGCA